GCAAGUCGAGCGGUAACAGAAAGUAGCUUGCUACUUUGCUGACGAGCGGCGGACGGGUGAGUAAUGCCUGGGAAUAUGCCUUGAUGUGGGGGAUAACUAUUGGAAACGAUAGCUAAUACCGCAUAAUGUCUUCGGACCAAAGAGGGGGACCUUCGGACCUCUCGCUCAUAGAUUAGCCCAAGUGAGAUUAGCUAGUUGGUAAGGUAAUGGCUUACCAAGGCGACGAUCCCUAGCUGUUCUGAGAGGAUGAUC
This 252-nucleotide ribosomal RNA is filed under the name uncultured bacterium. RNAcentral describes it as "partial 16S ribosomal RNA". It matches the Rfam family "Bacterial small subunit ribosomal RNA", at positions 57 to 305 of the family's 1533-position model. The record is from RNAcentral.